CCUACGGGAGGCAGCAGUGGGGAAUAUUGGACAAUGGGGGGAACCCUGAUCCAGCCAUGCCGCGUGUGUGAAGAAGGCCCUCGGGUUGUAAAGCACUUUCAGUGAGGAAGAACGCCUGGUGGUUAAUACCCAUCAGGAAAGACAUCACUCACAGAAGAAGCACCGGCUAACUCCGUGCCAGCAGCCGCGGUAAUACGGAGGGUGCGAGCGUUAAUCGGAAUUACUGGGCGUAAAGCGCGCGUAGGUGGCUUGAUAAGCCGGUUGUGAAAGCCCCGGGCUCAACCUGGGAACGGCAUCCGGAACUGUCAAGCUAGAGUGCAGGCGAGGAAGGUAGAAUUCCCGGUGUAGCGGGGAAAUGCGUAGAGAUCGGGAGGAAUAACAGUGGCGAAGGCGGCCUUCUGGACUGACACUGCCACUGAGGUGCGAAAGCGUGGGUAGCAAACAGGAUAAGCUACCCGAGUAGGA
RNAcentral lists this ribosomal RNA (465 nucleotides) under Vreelandella stevensii. RNAcentral describes it as "partial 16S ribosomal RNA". It matches the Rfam family "Bacterial small subunit ribosomal RNA", at positions 338 to 795 of the family's 1533-position model. Lineage: Bacteria; Pseudomonadati; Pseudomonadota; Gammaproteobacteria; Oceanospirillales; Halomonadaceae. The record is from RNAcentral.